CUUUACUGUAGCCUGGUAUUGGGUUCGGGCUUUGACUGCGCAGGAUAGGUGGGAGACUAUGAAGCAAUCCUUGUGGGGGUUGCUGAGUCAACGGUGAGAUACCACUCUGUCAGAGCUAGAAUUCUAACUAAAUGCCGUUAUCCGGCUUGGAACCGUAUCAGGUGGGCAGUUUGACUGGGCGGUCGCCUCCUAAAAGGUAACGGAGGCGCGCAAAGGUUCUCUCAGGCUGGUUGGAAAUCAGCCGUAGAGUGUAAAGGCAGAAGGGAGCUUGACUGCAAGAGCUACAACUCGAGCAGGGUGGAAACACGGCCUUAGUGAUCCGACGGCGCUGAGUGGAAGGGCCGUCGCUCAACGGAUAAAAGUUA
Molecule: ribosomal RNA, 365 nt
Filed under: uncultured organism
Description: bacterial LSU rRNA
Rfam family: Bacterial large subunit ribosomal RNA
Source: RNAcentral